CAGCAGCCGCGGUAAUACGAAGGGGGCUAGCGUUAUUCGGAUUUACUGGGCGUAAAGCGCACGUAGGCGGAUCGAUCAGUCAGGGGUGAAAUCCCAGAGCUCAACUCUGGAACUGCCUUUGAUACUGUCGAUCUGGAGUAUGGAAGAGGUGAGUGGAAUUCCGAGUGUAGAGGUGAAAUUCGUAGAUAUUCGGAGGAACACCAGUGGCGAAGGCGGCUCACUGGUCCAUUACUGACGCUGAGGUGCGAAAGCGUGGGGAGCAAACAGGAUUAGAUACCCCGGUAGUCCCUGUCUCUUAUAA
This 301-nucleotide ribosomal RNA is filed under the name uncultured bacterium. Its description in RNAcentral is "partial 16S ribosomal RNA". It matches the Rfam family "Bacterial small subunit ribosomal RNA", at positions 509 to 809 of the family's 1533-position model. The record is from RNAcentral.